This 804-nucleotide ribosomal RNA is filed under the name Xylariaceae sp. genotype 264. RNAcentral's name for it is "eukaryotic LSU rRNA". The stretch from base 384 to 804 matches the Rfam family "Eukaryotic large subunit ribosomal RNA", at positions 1 to 425 of the family's 3401-position model. The record is from RNAcentral. Lineage: Eukaryota; Fungi; Ascomycota; Sordariomycetes; Xylariales; Xylariaceae.
UCAUCCCCGCCGGCGGCCAACUAAACUCUGUUUUCUUUGGAAUUCUGAAUCAUAAACUUAAUAAGUUAAAACUUUCAACAACGGAUCUCUUGGUUCUGGCAUCGAUGAAGAACGCAGCGAAAUGCGAUAAGUAAUGUGAAUUGCAGAAUUCAGUGAAUCAUCGAAUCUUUGAACGCACAUUGCGCCCAUUAGCAUUCUAGUGGGCAUGCCUGUUCGAGCGUCAUUUCACCACUUAAGCCCUGUUGCUUAGCGUUGGGAGCCUACGGCAUAGCCCGUAGCUCCUUAAAGUGAUUGGCGGAGUUGGUUCUCACUCUAAGCGUAGUAACUAUAUCUCGCUUCUGUAGUAGUUCCGGCCCCUGCCGUAAAACCCCUUAUACAAAGGUUGACCUCGGAUCAGGUAGGAAUACCCGCUGAACUUAAGCAUAUCAAUAAGCGGAGGAAAAGAAACCAACAGGGAUUGCCCUAGUAACGGCGAGUGAAGCGGCAACAGCUCAAAUUUGAAAUCUGGCUCUAGGGCCCGAGUUGUAAUUUGCAGAGGAUGAUUUUGGCGCGGUGCCUUCCGAGUUCCCUGGAACGGGACGCCUUAGAGGGUGAGAGCCCCGUACGGUUGGACACCAAGCCUCUGUAAAUCUCCUUCGACGAGUCGAGUAGUUUGGGAAUGCUGCUCUAAAUGGGAGGUAAAUUUCUUCUAAAGCUAAAUACCGGCCAGAGACCGAUAGCGCACAAGUAGAGUGAUCGAAAGAUGAAAAGCACUUUGAAAAGAGGGUUAAAUAGCACGUGAAAUUGUUGAAAGGGAAGCAUUUA